Molecule: ribosomal RNA, 327 nt
Filed under: uncultured eukaryote
Lineage: Eukaryota
Description: partial 18S ribosomal RNA
Rfam family: Eukaryotic small subunit ribosomal RNA
Source: RNAcentral
CCCUUAGAUGUUCUGGGCCGCACGCGCGCUACACUGACGAAUGCAACGAGCUUAUAACCUUGGCCGAAAGGUCUGGGUAAUCUCCAAAUUUCGUCGUGAUGGGGAUAGAUUAUUGCAAUUAUUAAUCUUCAACGAGGAAUGCCUAGUAAGCGCAAGUCAUCAGCUUGCGUUGAUUACGUCCCUGCCCUUUGUACACACCGUCCGUCGCUCCUACCGAUUGAAUGGUCCGGUGAAGCGCUCGGACCGCGGCCUCUUGACGGUUUUCCGUCGAUUGGCUGUGGGAAGUUCGUUAAACCUUAUCAUUUAGAGGAAGGAGAAGUCGUAACA